This is a non-coding RNA of Cinara cedri, 239 nucleotides long. The record is from the annotation of a GenBank genome assembly. Lineage: Eukaryota; Metazoa; Arthropoda; Insecta; Hemiptera; Aphididae.
CCAAGGUGCGCACAUAAUAUGUUUUAGUGUCUCAUUGGUUACCUUUCUAAGAGUCCCACGAGAAAUUUAGAGUUCAGUGUGACAUUCUAAUAAGACACUAUUUGGUUCCUGAUCAUGUCCAAAGUCUCAUUAGUUAAUCUGGUGUUAGGAUACUUAUGAGACUGUCUGGGUAUUUAGUACAGUGUACUGGAAUUUACUACUAAUUAAACUAAUUAACAUUUAAGACAGAAAUGCACAGA